Molecule: ribosomal RNA, 92 nt
Filed under: Pagrus pagrus x Pagrus auriga
Lineage: Eukaryota; Metazoa; Chordata; Actinopteri; Spariformes; Sparidae
Description: partial 5.8S ribosomal RNA
Rfam family: 5.8S ribosomal RNA
About the family: 5.8S ribosomal RNA (5.8S rRNA) is a component of the large subunit of the eukaryotic ribosome. It is transcribed by RNA polymerase I as part of the 45S precursor that also contains 18S and 28S rRNA. Functionally, it is thought that 5.8S rRNA may be involved in ribosome translocation.
Source: RNAcentral
CAACUCUUAGCGGUGGAUCACUCGGCUCGUGCGUCGAUGAAGGACGCAGCUAGCUGCGAGAACUAAUGUGAAUUGCAGGACACAUUGAUCAU